RNAcentral lists this ribosomal RNA (571 nucleotides) under uncultured Glomeromycotina. Its description in RNAcentral is "SSU rRNA". It matches the Rfam family "Eukaryotic small subunit ribosomal RNA", at positions 548 to 1114 of the family's 1831-position model. The record is from RNAcentral. Lineage: Eukaryota; Fungi; Glomeromycota.
UUGGAGGGCAAGUCUGGUGCCAGCAGCCGCGGUAAUUCCAGCUCCAAUAGCGUAUAUUAGAGUUGUUGCAGUUAAAAAGCUCGUAGUUGAAUUUCGGGAUUGACACAUCGGUCGUGCCUUAAGGGGUAUGAACUGGUGUAGUCAAUUUCUCACCUUCUGGAGAACCGCGAUGCCCUUAAUUGGGUGUCGCGGGGAACCAGGACCUUUACUUUGAAAAAAUUAGAGUGUUUAAAGCAGGCAUUUUGCUUGAAUACAUUAGCAUGGAAUAAUAAAAUAGGACGGCAUGAUUCUAUUUUGUUGGUUUCUAGGAUCACCGUAAUGAUUAAUAGGGAUAGUUGGGGGCAUUAGUAUUCAAUUGUCAGAGGUGAAAUUUUUGGAUUUAUUGAAGACUAACUACUGCGAAAGCAUUUGCCAAGGAUGUUUUCAUUAAUCAAGAACGAAAGUUAGGGGAUCGAAGACGAUCAGAUACCGUCGUAGUCUUAACCAUAAACUAUGCCGACUAGGAAUCAGACGAUGUUAAUUUUUUAAUGACUCGUUUGGCACCUUACGGGAAACCAAAGUGUUUGGGUUC